RNAcentral lists this ribosomal RNA (519 nucleotides) under uncultured bacterium. Its description in RNAcentral is "partial 16S ribosomal RNA". It matches the Rfam family "Bacterial small subunit ribosomal RNA", at positions 28 to 507 of the family's 1533-position model. The record is from RNAcentral.
GACGAACGCUGGCGGCGUGCCUAAUACAUGCAAGUCGAGCGAGCUUGCCUAGAUGAAUUUGGUGCUUGCACCAGAUGAAACUAGAUACAAGCGAGCGGCGGACGGGUGAGUAACACGUGGGUAACCUGCCCAAGAGACUGGGAUAACACCUGGAAACAGAUGCUAAUACCGGAUAACAACACUAGACGCAUGUCUAGAGUUUAAAAGAUGGAUCUGCUAUCACUCUUGGAUGGACCUGCGGUGCAUUAGCUAGUUGGUAAGGCAACGGCUUACCAAGGCAAUGAUGCAUAGCCGAGUUGAGAGACUGAUCGGCCACAUUGGGACUGAGAAACGGCCCAAACUCCUACGGGAGGCAGCAGUAGGGAAUCUUCCACAAUGGACGCAAGUCUGAUGGAGCAACGCCGCGUGAGUGAAGAAGGGUUUCGGCUCGUAAAGCUCUGUUGGUAGUGAAGAAAGAUAGAGGUAGUAACUGGCCUUUAUUUGACGGUAAUUACUUAGAAAGUCACGGCUAACUACGUG